CAAAGAGAGGAUGCUUUCAGGUCUCUUGUUAAAAAUUGUGGGCUGUUUGAUAUUGGUUAUAGUGGUCCUGCUUAUACUUGGCGUGGUAGGCAACAUACUUCUAAGCCCAUUCAUAGACGUCUUGAUCGAUGCUUGGUCAAUUCUAAUUGGUACGCUUUUUAUCCUAAUACUAAAGUGCUGAAUCUUCCUAUUAUUCUUGGUGACCAUGCUCCCAUUUUAAUUUCCUCGGAAGGUAAACUUGCUAGGCCUAGAAAUCUUUUAAAUUUGAAAACUGGUGGCUUAUGGAAAAAGAUUUUCACUCUUUUGCUAAAAAUAAUUGGAUUUCUAGUUCCCUGA
This 336-nucleotide ribosomal RNA is filed under the name Triticum aestivum (bread wheat). RNAcentral's name for it is "partial small subunit ribosomal RNA". The record is from RNAcentral. Lineage: Eukaryota; Viridiplantae; Streptophyta; Magnoliopsida; Poales; Poaceae.